AGAGCGAACGCUGGCGGCAGGCCUAACACAUGCAAGUCGAACGGACUCUUCGGAGUUAGUGGCGGACGGGUGAGUAACACGUGGGAACGUGCCUUUUGGUUCGGAAUAGCUCCUGGAAACGGGUGGUAAUGCCGAAUGUGCCCUUCGGGGGAAAGAUUUAUCGCCAUUAGAGCGGCCCGCGUCUGAUUAGCUAGUUGGUGAGGUAAAGGCUCACCAAGGCUACGAUCAGUAGCU
This 234-nucleotide ribosomal RNA is filed under the name uncultured soil bacterium. RNAcentral's name for it is "partial 16S ribosomal RNA". It matches the Rfam family "Bacterial small subunit ribosomal RNA", at positions 26 to 288 of the family's 1533-position model. The record is from RNAcentral.